This 245-nucleotide ribosomal RNA is filed under the name uncultured bacterium. RNAcentral describes it as "partial 16S ribosomal RNA". It matches the Rfam family "Bacterial small subunit ribosomal RNA", at positions 524 to 768 of the family's 1533-position model. The record is from RNAcentral.
UACGGAGGGUGCAAGCGUUAUCCGGAUUCACUGGGUUUAAAGGGUGCGUAGGUGGGCAGGUAAGUCCGUGGUGAAAUCCUAUAGCUUAACUAUAGAACUGCCAUGGAUACUAUUUGUCUUGAAUAUCGUAGAGGUAAGCGGAAUAUGUCAUGUAGCGGUGAAAUGCUUAGAUAUGACAUAGAACACCAAUUGCGAAGGCAGCUUGCUAUGCGAUUAUUGACACUGAGGCACGAAAGCGUGGGUAG